UUCUAUUUUAUUUUUAUCAUUUACCCAGAUACCAGACGUCCCUAAAUUUGAGGAGGGCAAAUCAUCAAGUAGCAAGAAAGGCGCUAGCACAUCUGCAGUCAUGGAGGAAGCCGCCACUGCCGAUCCCCAAGUAUAUUCCAACGGGACCGACACCAUGGAUGUUGCUGACCACGAUGACAUCUUUGACAUGAAUGCGAGUGCAGAGGUCACUCAGACAGACGACGAAUUCGAGAACAAUGAACGAUUGAUGGAGGAGGAGGAUGCAGUAACGAAGAAAGAAUUUGUCGAGGUGGAAGACAUUUUUCAGAAUGACAAUAGCAUAAUCCACACCAAUGAUACUGAACAUGAAAAGAUGGACAAAGAGAAAGAAGAAGUAGAAGAUAUCUUUGGAGAUGACCUCCAUGUUCAGGAGGAAGAGGAGCAUGAUUAUGAACCUAUAUUUACAGCAGACGCAAGGGAAGAAGAGCCUGUCAUAAAAAUUACAGAUGUAGAUACCGAGAGGACCGAACCUGAGGUCGUUUUGGAACCCGAGGGGAAUUUGGACAAUGCGGCGGAUACGUCUAAGCUUGAUGCAGACUUGCCCUUUCCUGAUAUGCCCCGGAAAAGUGAUAUUUCCCUCAAUUGGGAGGAUGUCGUAGAGGAGGAGCAAAAGAGGGAUCAGUCCUCAGCACCUACUUUGCCUUCCACAGACACUGAAGCACCUGCUGCCCCCGUGGCAGAGCAGGAAGAAGAAAUAGACGAGGGAGAAGUGGCCAAAUUUGUGGAGAAGAUUUUGAUCAGUUCAAUGAAUGAAGUGUCUAGUCAAGCAGAGGAGGAAGGAGAAAGCCAAAAUGAAAGUUGUGUUGAGGUUCAAAUCAGUGAGCCUGCUUUAGAAACCCCUGAGACCACGGUUGAGUCAGACAAUGUUCUUUCCUUGGAGACUGGGCCAGAGAAGGUUGAUGUUGAUGUUGUCGAUGAGCCAGCUGAAAAAGAGGACUUCUCAGUCAGCAUUAAAACUCCAGCCAGUGUGCAUCCUGAAAUCAAUGGACUUGCUAAAGAUGAAGCUAAGAAUGAUAAAGAAGUAGAAAUCCAAACUGCUGUUCCCUUGUGUGCAGUGGAAGUAGCAAAGGAAGUGGAAGAUGAAGUGAAAGACAGUCCAGUGAAGGAUAGUCCAGUGAAGGAUAUUAAAGAAACUCCAAGUGCAAGCUCAAAUUUUGUUGACAGUCCGGAUGUAGGGGUAUCAAGAACAUUUGAUAAGACGGAAGAGCUUACGAAAACACCAGACUCUUUGGUUAUUGAAGAAAGCAAACCAGAGGUUGAGGUUACCAAGAGCAUGGAGUCAAGUGAAGGUCGACAACGUAAGAUGUCUGUUCCGAAACCAAGGGAUCUAAGGAAAGACUUGUCUGGAGCCAGACCCAGCUUUUUUGGGUCGGGCACUUCUGGCCCAAAGCCCUUUCUUUCUAAUACGCUACCUAGGGUAAGUGUCCUUCCCAAAAUCAGCACAUCCUACCAACGUAAGUCACCAACGUCACCAUUGUCUCUAUCUGGAAAUUACUCCAGCUUUGACAGUGCUGCAGAAGCACUACCAACAGUUGCAGGACCAGAUUUGACCAAGGAUGACACAAAAGUCAUUAAAGAACUUGAUACCAUUGAACUUCCUCUUAUUGAAACACUGUCAAAACCAACAUCAUCGAAUGCAGCCACUGUAUCAACAGAUAACGUAGAUCCCAUUGUCCCGACAAAAGAGACCAAGGUGGAAUCUGGUCCCAUGGCACCUGUCUACGCACACAAAGGUGCAGGGAAGGAUCCCAUUAUCUUGGAUGGUACAUCUCCUGAAGAACUUGAAGCAAUCUUUGCCAAAGACCCAGAGGAAGACAAAACAAAGAAAAGCAUGGGAAAGGACGAUGUCAUUGCAUCAACACGAGUCAGGAAGGUAUCCAGAACAACAUGGAAAGGUCAAGAUGAGUUCCAGAAGUCUAUUGACAAGUCUGCUGUUAUCCUUGAUGAGCCGCAAGCUGCCAGCUUAAAGAGAUAUGAGGAACGGAAGAAGCAACGAAUAGAUGCAUUUUCAGGAAAAGUCAGAGCCCGAGAAGAUUCUACGUCAGAGGCUGAAUCUGAAGGAAGUCAGUCAUCGCAUAGUGGCCCGAAAAUGCCAGAUGUUGUCCAGUCAGGAGGAAAAGUCUCCAGUAAUGGAAAUCCAGAGACAGAAAAAGUAGCACCCAAGCUGAACAUGAAAUCUGUUCGUUCUCUCUGGGAGCAAAAGGCUGCGGAAGUAGAGCAACGCAGACGUUCUCUACAAACCAAGAGUCGUCCAGUAUCCCAAGGAGAAAGAUCUAGACCAUCCCAAUCAAAGAGUAUCAACAAGUCUUGUGAUGCUCUGGACAACCUAGAUGACAGCAUUGAAGGCAGCACAACCUACUCGUAUGAUGGAACUUCUGAUGAUGGUUCUACCAAGAGGGAAAGUUUGAUUGAAAGGGAUCUUCGUCUACACAAAGAACGUACCUUGGAUAUUUCAAAAGACAGGGAUCGUCUACGAUCGGAAUCCACCUCCUCAAGAGAUGAGAGUCAGCAGUCGGAGACGUCAGAAAGUUUGGACGAUCAGGCUGUGGACAUCGUCCGUGACACCGAGCUAAGAAGAGACUCUGAUGAUGGAAGGUCUUCACCGAGUCAAAGCAGCGGGUAUAUGUCGGGUCGUUCCACACCGUCAACUCCUGCAGGAGAUGACAUCCUGAAGGUCAAGACAGGAAAGUCCUCAGGAAAGACUCCUGAGUUAAAGAUGUCAUUGUCACCCACCGAUCCAGAGGCCAGUUCUAACUACAAGGAGUACCAGAAAGCUCUCAGGGGUUCCAAGGCAGAUGGGAAGUUCUCCAAGAGUGCAACCUUCCCAAGGAGAAUGGAAAACUAUGACAAAGAGGGUGAUUCAUCUGGGGUUUCACCGACCAACAGCGUAGGUGACGUCCCUGACGUGAUCAUGGUGGAUGGUAACAAAGCAACGUCUCCAACCGAAGGGAAACCAAGGAAGACCAGCAUUGUUCAGCAAGGAAUCAAGCUAUCACAGACACUAGAGAAGAAGAAGAUCGAAAAACUUGAGAAGAAACCAAGACGCUCCUUGAUGGAGCUGGAGAUUGCAGCCCAGCGUGAGAAGGAAGAGGCGUUCCGUCGAGAACAGCAAACAAGGAAGAUGAGCACCUCCAAAUCGCUCUGCGAAGAGGCCCCGCCCAAGUCUCCUCCGGCCUCGUCAUCGGCAGCCUCCUCAGUCCAGACGUCGCCCAGGAAGACCUCGGUGUCUGGGGUGACAGCCAAGCAGGUUUAUAAGUAAAGCAAAUGGAUUAUGGAUUUUUACAAUGAUCAGCUAUAGUUGCAAGCAAGGACCCAGGAUCUGAACUAUGCUCCCCAAACAAA
Molecule: unclassified non-coding RNA, 3381 nt
Filed under: Lytechinus variegatus (green sea urchin)
Lineage: Eukaryota; Metazoa; Echinodermata; Echinoidea; Temnopleuroida; Toxopneustidae
Description: uncharacterized LOC121424450, transcript variant X2
Source: RNAcentral